AUGGCCUCGGGUCGGUGGGCUUCUCCAGGCCCAGCUUGGGCCUCCCGGCGGCCUCUGCAGGCUCAAGUGGUCCUGAAGUCAGCCUCUCCAGGCCCAGCUCCGGCCUCCCAGCAAGCAAGCUCUUUUGGCUCAGCUCCUGCCCAGCUCCCGCCGGCUUUUGUAGACCCUGAACUUUCUCCAGCGAUGCUCCUCAGUCCCACCUGCCUCCCGGUGGCCUGUACAGGCCCAGGUCUGGCUGGAGAACAGCCUCUGCAGGCCCCACUCUUGCCUCCUAGGGGCAUCUCCAGGCCCAGCUCUGGCCUCACGGCGGCCUCCCGGGACCAAGUCCCUGCCUGCCUCCCAGCAGCCUGUGUGCGGCCCAGCUCCUCCGUCACGGUGGCCUGUUCAGGCCCAACUCAUGCCUCUGGCACCCUUUCGAGAGGCGUGAGCCCCUGCCUCACAUUGGCCUCUCUCACGCUGAGGGAGUUCAGCGUGGGCCCCUGUCUCACACUGGCCUCUCUCACGCUGAGGGAGGUCAGCAUGAGCCCCUGCCUCACACUGGUCUCUCUCACGCUGAGAGCAAUCCUCCCUCACGCUGGCCUGUUGAGACCCAGCUCAUGCCUCUGUUGGCCUUUCCAGGCCCAGCCCCUGCCUGUUGGCGGCCUCUAG
RNAcentral lists this long non-coding RNA (648 nucleotides) under Homo sapiens (human). Its description in RNAcentral is "novel piRNA host transcript (ENSG00000279072.2)". The record is from RNAcentral. Lineage: Eukaryota; Metazoa; Chordata; Mammalia; Primates; Hominidae.